ACUAUUCUCUCAUCCAUGGCUUUCAUAAAAUUUUUCAUGUCAUCAAACUUUUCAGUCAGAGCAUUAAUGAUGGCUGCUAUAUUAGGAUCCAUAUUGGUGUUGGAUGGAGAAGUAGGAUGUUGGUACCAGGUACCUGAUCUAGUGGUCAUGCAACUCUAAGAUGCAGAAAUAAGGUGCAAUAAAAAUUAAAAUGCUUGAAAGUAAAGUAUGAAAUUUAGAGUGUGAAAAUUUAA
RNAcentral lists this long non-coding RNA (233 nucleotides) under Elaeis guineensis (African oil palm). RNAcentral describes it as "long non-coding RNA (EGUI_LNC041731)". Lineage: Eukaryota; Viridiplantae; Streptophyta; Magnoliopsida; Arecales; Arecaceae. The record is from RNAcentral.